RNAcentral lists this ribosomal RNA (497 nucleotides) under uncultured bacterium. RNAcentral's name for it is "partial 16S ribosomal RNA". It matches the Rfam family "Bacterial small subunit ribosomal RNA", at positions 28 to 507 of the family's 1533-position model. The record is from RNAcentral.
GAUGAACGCUGGCGGCGUGCCUAAUACAUGCAAGUCGAGCGAACAGACGAGGAGCUUGCUCCUCUGACGUUAGCGGCGGACGGGUGAGUAACACGUGGAUAACCUACCUAUAAGACUGGGAUAACUUCGGGAAACCGGAGCUAAUACCGGAUAAUAUAUUGAACCGCAUGGUUCAAUAGUGAAAGACGGUUUUGCUGUCACUUAUAGAUGGAUCCGCGCCGCAUUAGCUAGUUGGUAAGGUAACGGCUUACCAAGGCAACGAUGCGUAGCCGACCUGAGAGGGUGAUCAGCCACACUGGAACUGAGACACGGUCCAGACUCCUACGGGAGGCAGCAGUGGGGAAUCUUCCGCAAUGGGCGAAAGCCUGACGGAGCAACGCCGCGUGAGUGAAGAAGGUCUUCGGAUCGUAAAACUCUGUUAUUAGGGAAGAACAAAAGUGUAAGUAACUAUGCACGUCUUGACGGUACCUAAUCAGAAAGCCACGGCUAACUACGUG